Non-coding RNA from Camellia sinensis, 613 nucleotides. The record is from RefSeq and is a predicted model, not a curated record. NCBI's taxonomy places the organism in Eukaryota, Viridiplantae, Streptophyta, Magnoliopsida, Ericales, Theaceae.
GUUCGAAUCACACCACCGGAAGCCCUCUCUCUCCGUUCGAAUUGCACCAUCGGAAGCCCUCUCUCUCUAUUCGAAUCGCACCAUCGGAAGCCCUCUUCUCUGUUCGUUUUGCUUCACUGAUGUGACACCAUCGGAAGCCCUAAUCUCCGUCCAUUUCGCACCAGGCGUUUGGCUCCACGGUCUUGGAUUUCAAGGUCUCAAGUGAACAUGAUGAGAUCCAAAGUCAUUUGGCAAUUGUUCUUCGUAAAUAGUUGAGUCCAUGCAUUUAAUGCUCGGGAGAAUUGCACUGGUUUUCUUCAUCUCUCAUUGUGGAUCCACACAAGCACCAUGUAUACAUAUAGGGCCUACUGCACACGUUUCAUUAUUUUCUAAUUGUGUAGAAGAUUAAGUUAAUCGUUCCAUAUUUGAGGAUAAUCCGAUGCGAGCUCAACUCCUCUUUCAGCAUCCUUGGAAACUAAAAUCAUUACAAGGUUCAAUUAUAUGAAAUGCAUCUUCUGCACCAUUAUAUUAUUAAUUGUUAUUAUUUUUUAGAUAUUUUAUAAUCAUUUUGAAAUAUACUAUUUUGAAUUCAGCAAUAUUACCAGGUAGAAAUUACAAAUGGUUUUUAGAUUGG